This 482-nucleotide ribosomal RNA is filed under the name uncultured bacterium. Its description in RNAcentral is "partial 16S ribosomal RNA". It matches the Rfam family "Bacterial small subunit ribosomal RNA", at positions 30 to 507 of the family's 1533-position model. The record is from RNAcentral.
UGAACGCUGGCGGAAUGCUUUACACAUGCAAGUCGAGCGGCAGCUCGGGGGCAACCCUGGUGGCGAGCGGCGAACGGGUGAGUAAUACAUCGGAACAUGCCCAGUCGUGGGGGAUAACACUUCGAAAGAAGUGCUAAUACCGCAUACGUCCUGAGGGGGAAAGCGGGGGAUCGCAAGACCUCGCGCGAUUGGAGUGGCCGAUGUCAGAUUAGCUAGUUGGUGGGGUAAAGGCCUACCAAGGCAACGAUCUGUAGCUGGUCUGAGAGGAUGAUCAGCCACACUGGGACUGAGACACGGCCCAGACUCCUACGGGAGGCAGCAGUGGGGAAUUUUGGACAAUGGGGGCAACCCUGAUCCAGCCAUUCCGCGUGAGUGAAGAAGGCCUUCGGGUUGUAAAGCUCUUUCGGCAGGAACGAAACGGUGAGCUCUAACAUAGCUUGCUAAUGACGGUACCUGAAGAAGAAGCACCGGCUAACUACGUG